AUGAUGGCGGUUACGGAGCGCAGAUCGGGGCAGCUUUCCGUAACUUCCUCGGCGGUGGACUUAGAGCCGUAGCCGCUGGGGCCGACCGCUCCGAUGAGGUACUUCACGGUCUCAAGCAUCUUUCUGGUUUGGCCGGAAAAAAUAAUAGAGUAUGUCAGCCUACGCCGCUUUGCAUUUACUCUGUUCCUCUGUCUGUGUGCUUUUAAGAGAGAGAGAGAGAGAGAGAGAGAGAUUAAUGGAGUAAUUAAGAUUAGAGAGAUAAGAGAAUUAGGGAAGAAGGGUUUGGAUGACUGGUUUAAGAGCCAGCCAACGGGAAAGAUUUUAAGAAAGGAGAUUUUUGUGGGGUUUUAUAAUAAUAAUGUUGAUGGGUGGGAGAUUAAUCAA
Molecule: long non-coding RNA, 384 nt
Organism: Alnus glutinosa
Lineage: Eukaryota; Viridiplantae; Streptophyta; Magnoliopsida; Fagales; Betulaceae
Exons: 2
Source: RefSeq, a predicted model, not a curated record